GAUGAACGCUGGCGGCGUGCCUAAUACAUGCAAGUCGAGCGAACAGACGAGGAGCUUGCUCCUCUGACGUUGGCGGCGGACGGGUGAGUAACACGUGGAUAACCUACAUAUAAGACUGGGAUAACGUCGGGAAACCGGAGCUAAUACCGGAUAAUAUAUUGAACCGCAUGGUUCAAUAGUGAAAGACGGUUUUGCUGUCACUUAUAGAUGGAUCCGCGCCGCAUUAGCUAGUUGGUAAGGUAACGGCUUACCAAGGCAACGAUGCGUAGCCGACCUGAGAGGAUGAUCGGCCACACUGGAACUGAGACACGGUCCAGACUCCUACGGGAGGCAGCAGUGGGGAAUCUUCCGCAAUGGGCGAAAGCUUGACGGAGCAACGCCGCGUGAGUGAUGAAGGUCUUCGGAUCGUAAAACUCUGUUAUUAGGGAAGAACAAAUGUGUAAGUAACUAUGCACGUCUUGACGGUACCUAAUCAGAAAGCCACGGCUAACUACGUG
RNAcentral lists this ribosomal RNA (497 nucleotides) under uncultured bacterium. RNAcentral describes it as "partial 16S ribosomal RNA". It matches the Rfam family "Bacterial small subunit ribosomal RNA", at positions 28 to 507 of the family's 1533-position model. The record is from RNAcentral.